RNAcentral lists this ribosomal RNA (613 nucleotides) under Burkholderia sp. ICBR 143. Its description in RNAcentral is "bacterial SSU rRNA". It matches the Rfam family "Bacterial small subunit ribosomal RNA", at positions 157 to 764 of the family's 1533-position model. Lineage: Bacteria; Pseudomonadati; Pseudomonadota; Betaproteobacteria; Burkholderiales; Burkholderiaceae. The record is from RNAcentral.
GCCGGAUUAAUACCGCAUACGAUCUACGGAUGAAAGCGGGGGAUCUUCGGACCUCGCGCUAUAGGGGCGGCCGAUGGCGGAUUAGCUAGUUGGUGAGGUAAAGGCUCACCAAGGCGACGAUCCGUAGCUGGUCUGAGAGGACGACCAGCCACACUGGGACUGAGACACGGCCCAGACUCCUACGGGAGGCAGCAGUGGGGAAUUUUGGACAAUGGGCGAAAGCCUGAUCCAGCAAUGCCGCGUGUGUGAAGAAGGCCUUCGGGUUGUAAAGCACUUUUGUCCGGAAAGAAAUCCCUGGUCCUAAUAUGGCCGGGGGAUGACGGUACCGGAAGAAUAAGCACCGGCUAACUACGUGCCAGCAGCCGCGGUAAUACGUAGGGUGCAAGCGUUAAUCGGAAUUACUGGGCGUAAAGCGUGCGCAGGCGGUGAUGUAAGACCGAUGUGAAAUCCCCGGGCUCAACCUGGGAACUGCAUUGGUGACUGCAUCGCUUGAGUAUGGCAGAGGGGGGUAGAAUUCCACGUGUAGCAGUGAAAUGCGUAGAGAUGUGGAGGAAUACCGAUGGCGAAGGCAGCCCCCUGGGUCAANACUGACGCUUCAUGCACGAAACGCGGG